This is a long non-coding RNA of Cornus florida, 583 nucleotides long. RefSeq lists it as uncharacterized. NCBI's taxonomy places the organism in Eukaryota, Viridiplantae, Streptophyta, Magnoliopsida, Cornales, Cornaceae. The transcript is spliced from 2 exons. The record is from RefSeq and is a predicted model, not a curated record.
GAGAUCAUCUCGAAAGAAUCGUCUGAUGAGGAAUUUGAAGUCUGGUUUUAGGGGCACCAUGGUAUUUGCUGUCAGUGGACUGGUAUGUAUCGUGCUGGAAAUCAUAUUGCAAAAAAGAUUUUAGCCCUACAAAAUGCCUUCUUAAUUAUUUGGAAAACUGGAAUGUGACGCUCUUGACCAUGACGAGGAUUGCAAGAAUUGGGCCAAUAGUACAAACGUUUUUAAGAGUUGGAUCCUGACAAUCAUGAUCACUUUCAAGUAUGUAAUAUUUUAAAAAUGCAGUGACAAAAAGUGGUCUCCUCAAAGUUUCUUGAAAAGUCGGUUGGGUUUCCAAAACUUUAGGAAUGUUUUCUCCAAUUUUUAUUACUGGUAUCCACAAACAACGAGGUUGUCUUUAUUUCAUUAUUAGCAAUUAGCAUCAGUUCUGUAUCCAUUUUGAAAGUAAUAAUUCUCGUUCCAUAAAACUUAAAUGUGGAACGUCCCAAUGUAAAUUUAUCAUAUUAGGUGCAUCCAGCAUGAAUAAUCGGCCAAUUAUUUGUUUGUAUCUUAUCAUCAUCGAAUGAAAUGAUUAUAUAUGUUUGGA